This 164-nucleotide non-coding RNA is filed under the name Parastagonospora nodorum SN15. RNAcentral describes it as "Phaeosphaeria nodorum SN15 Eukaryotic large subunit ribosomal RNA". It matches the Rfam family "Eukaryotic large subunit ribosomal RNA", at positions 1 to 164 of the family's 3401-position model. Lineage: Eukaryota; Fungi; Ascomycota; Dothideomycetes; Pleosporales; Phaeosphaeriaceae. The record is from Rfam by way of RNAcentral.
CGACCUCAAAUCAGGUAGGAUUACCCGCUGAACUUAAGCAUAUCAAUAAGCGGAGGAAAAGAAACCAACAGGGAUUGCCUUAGUAGCGGCGAGUGAAGCGGCAAUAGCUCAAAUUUGAAAUCUGGCACUUUCAGUGUCCGAGUUGUAAUUUGAAGAAGGUAUCU